This is a long non-coding RNA of Rhincodon typus (whale shark), 1411 nucleotides long. RefSeq lists it as uncharacterized. The record is from RefSeq and is a predicted model, not a curated record. The transcript has 2 exons. NCBI's taxonomy places the organism in Eukaryota, Metazoa, Chordata, Chondrichthyes, Orectolobiformes, Rhincodontidae.
AGGUCUCGCUUUUGGUCAGACCCGGAAGUCCCUCCAAUGGGAAGGCCAAGCACGAGCCGGUGGGCAACGGUUCCGAGUUCGGUGAUGACGGUGGCUUCACUUCCCAGCCACUCCGCGUGCAUCCUACGCACACCCUGCGUGUCCGCCUGUCCCGCCAGAGGGCCGGGUGCAUUCCUUCCGCUCCCCUGGACACUCUCUCGUUAGAAAGCGAUGACUGGUUGUUUGACCUGAGGGUCACCACGUCUCUGGUGAGGGGAGAGGUUGAGAAGAAGAGUCCUUUGUUGUCACCGCAGUUUGUGAUGUGAAUUAGCUGGUGUUACUCUGUAUUGCAAACCAACCCUCCAGCUAACUCGACAAAAUGACCCCCGAUCUUCAACUAAAGUUGUUCUGACAGCAAGACAGUAUGUGAACAAAUUAAAACUGCAGAUUUGACUUUUAUAUCUUGGGAUGAGAUGGCACAAGUUCAAAAGCAAUAUUUCAAACCUCCUCUUUCUAAAGAAGAACUGUCAGUGCCAUUGGCUGAGAUAUUGAUAUGCAAGCAGCAGUCUAACAGUAACACAUGCAAUAAUGUCCAGUUCACUAGGAAGGCACCCACAGAGAGAAAACAAAGACUUCUAAUCCACCCAACACAACAAAGUGAAGUAACUUCAUACUUCAGGACAGAUGUGACAGCAGGUCAAGAAUGAAAAUUUGUUUGGACAAAAUUAAAAUGACCUUUAUAUGAUUCCAUGAAACCAGGGCAAAGUUCAAACACAGGCUCUUCCAUGAUGGAGAUGAAGUCAUGGACCAAUAACUGGAUUUAUAAAAAUGAAAAUCCUCCUCUCAAGAUCACAAUUACAUUUUAUGUAUUUUUGAUUGGGACUGAAUUGGGAAAAGGAGUGCUUUUGAGAAAAGGACUAAGAAAAAAUUGCCUUACUUUUAAAAAGCAAGCAACUGAAGCUUACUGUGUGUUGUGUUUACAUGGCUGAUUUGUUUAAUAAGUGGGGAAGUAUUUGUAAAUGGCCUGGCUCCAAUGGUUUGUGUACAAAGUGGGAUUUGGCUAGCAACAAAUUGUUGAUUGGUUGGUGGAAUUGAAACCAAUUGUGAAUGUGAAAGGCAAUUAGCCUGACAACAACUAUCUGAUUGGCUCCUGGGUAACUGAACAACAAAUGCCCCAACAGGUCAAGAACAGCUUCUUCCCAGCUGUUAGACUGCUGAAUAGACCUCUCUAAUUUCAAAUAAUGUUGAUCUUGCUAAUGUAAAUCUUGUCUUGUACACCUCCUGUGCAGCCAUUACCUUGUAUGCCUCACUCUGUGUAAGCACCUAUGAUCUGUAUGUCCUUGUUUACUAUCAUCUGCCUGUAUUACUUGCAAAACAAGACUUUUCACUGUGCUUAGGUACAUGUGACAACAAUAAAUCAAAUCAAAUCAAA